UUUUCUCUCUCCAAAAAAGAAUCCCCAAUAUUUCCCGCCCUUUUCCUCGGCUCCUGCCUCUCAUCGCUAGGGCUCCACUUCCGCUCUCUCCUCAGAUCAAAUGGCGUCUUCAUCUUCGGCGCCUUCCGGCGAAAAUGAUCAACCAUCUCCGGCCAUUAGCGGCAGAGAUGCCGGAGAUGUCAUCACCAGCGUCGGCACAACCGGCGGCGACAACAGCGGCGACAAAAGCAUCGGUCGGGGAGACAGCAUCGGGCGGAAGCAACACCGGUGGAGAUGACAGAAGCGGCCACAACAUCAGGGACGAAAUCACCAGAGGCGACGACGCCGGAGGCGAGAAAGAGAAAAAGAAAUGAAAGCGAGAACAGGACGGUGAUGCUGAGGACCAAGGACAACAAGCUUGUCGAGAUGAAGAAGGAGGCGGCCGAGCUGUCGGAGGUCCUCCACCGUCAGAUCGAGGAGGGAUUCGUCGGCGAUGCAAUCCCCGUCGAUGUCAAGGAAAAAACCCUGAUAAGAGUCAGAGUAUACUGUGACGCGCACUCUCUUUUGGCGUCUUGGCCAUCCGAAGUGGUGAAACAGAGGAUGAAACAGAACUUUGAUGAUGAGUUCUCCCAAACCUUGGAUUUUGCUAAACGUUUCUUCAUGUUUCAGAGUUGUAUGAUGGAAGGCCCAUUGUUUGAUUCUUUGUAUCAAAAUCUUGAAGUUUUGCAACUUCAGUUCUGGUAGACUCCACCAUGGCAAACAUUGCAGUUGCUAUGGACAAAUCACUCGGAUGUUUUCAACUCUGGACAUUAGAAAUAUGAAACUACGUGAAGAGAACAAUAUAAAUCAACAGUUAUUCAAAUCGAGAAUUGGUUUAAAGGCUCAAGAUUUCACAAAGCAUCAAUUGUCGUGCCUUGGGGAGCUGAGAAGAGUAGUAUACAAUGACUUUACACGGGCUCUUGGGAAUGAUGACGAUAACAGCUUCAAACAGUGAUCAGACUCAUUAUAUCUCUAUGAUUGCUGAAGAUCUGCAAAAGCUCGCAUCUGCAUCUCCUCAUGUGAAGGUAAUUUUGAAGCAACGAAGACACUUGCGAGCAACAUCCUUGGAUGCCAUCAAUCAUAGGGUUGAUCCUAAGCUUGAUUCAAAUCCAGCCUAUCCAUAUAUAAUUUAUGUUAUCUUUGUUGAAGUUUUGUUAAGAUUUGGGUACAUUAGCUUUUA
RNA transcript from Asparagus officinalis (garden asparagus), 1198 nucleotides. It is a transcript of the gene named SKP1-like protein 14, with no coding region annotated. The transcript is spliced from 3 exons. The record is from RefSeq and is a predicted model, not a curated record. Lineage: Eukaryota; Viridiplantae; Streptophyta; Magnoliopsida; Asparagales; Asparagaceae.